UGGGGAAUAUUGCACAAUGGGCGCAAGCCUGAUGCAGCCAUGCCGCGUGUAUGAAGAAGGCCUUCGGGUUGUAAAGUACUUUCAGCGGGGAGGAAGGGAGUAAAGUUAAUACCUUUACUCAUUGACGUUACCCGCAGAAGAAGCACCGGCUAACUCCGUGCCAGCAGCCGCGGUAAUACGGAGGGUGCAAGCGUUAAUCGGAAUUACUGGGCGUAAAGCGCACGCAGGCGGUUUGUUAAGUCAGAUGUGAAAUCCCCGGGCUCAACCUGGGAACUGCAUCUGAUACUGGCAAGCUUGAGUCUCGUAGAGGGGGGUAGAAUUCCAGGUGUAGCGGUGAAAUGCGUAGAGAUCUGGAGGAAUACCGGUGGCGAAGGCGACCCCCUGGACGAAGACUGACGCUCAGGUGCGAAAGCGGGGGGAGCAAACAGG
RNAcentral lists this ribosomal RNA (429 nucleotides) under Chloroflexota bacterium. RNAcentral describes it as "Chloroflexi bacterium partial 16S ribosomal RNA". It matches the Rfam family "Bacterial small subunit ribosomal RNA", at positions 355 to 776 of the family's 1533-position model. Lineage: Bacteria; Bacillati; Chloroflexota. The record is from RNAcentral.